UAUGUCAUGCUUCCCUUUUUGAUAAUCUACCAUCCAAACUCCAUUAUAUCCCUCCCUUUCUUGUCGAAUGGGUUUGGACAUGCGAAGGAUGACUUGUUCAUGAAAGUCCAAAGUGAUCCUCUCAUUGUCAUCCAUAUGAGCACCCGGAGCGAAGGCAUUCUUCACGCGAGGUCUACCACUAGGACCUCUAGCUGGAAUAGGCCUCCAUCUGCCUUGAGCACGCUGGGGAACCUUG
This 235-nucleotide long non-coding RNA is filed under the name Setaria italica (foxtail millet). RNAcentral's name for it is "long non-coding RNA (SITA_LNC001196)". Lineage: Eukaryota; Viridiplantae; Streptophyta; Magnoliopsida; Poales; Poaceae. The record is from RNAcentral.